CCUACGGGUGGCAGCAGUGAGGAAUAUUGGUCAAUAGACGAGAGUCUGAACCAGCCAAGUAGCGUGAAGGAUGACUGCCCUAUGGGUUGUAAACUUCUUUUAUAUGGGAAUAAAACGUUCCACGUGUGGGAUUUUGUAUGUACCAUAUGAAUAAGGAUCGGCUAACUCCGUGCCAGCAGCCGCGGUAAUACGGAGGAUCCGAACGUUAUCCGGAUUUAUUGGGUUUAAAGGGAGCGUAGGUGGAGUGUUAAGUCAGUUGUGAAAGUUUGCGGCUCAAACGUAAAAUUGCAGUUGAAACUGGCAGUCUUGAGUACAGUAGAGGUGGGCGGAAUUCGUGGUGUAGCGGUGAAAUGCUUAGAUAUCACGAAGAACUCCGAUUGCGAAGGCAGUUCACUGGACUGCAACUGACACUGAGGCUCGAAAGUGUGGGUAUCAAACAGGAUUAGAUACCCUUGUAGUC
Molecule: ribosomal RNA, 460 nt
Filed under: uncultured bacterium
Lineage: Bacteria
Description: partial 16S ribosomal RNA
Rfam family: Bacterial small subunit ribosomal RNA
Source: RNAcentral